GAUGAACGCUGGCGGCGUGCUUAACACAUGCAAGUCGAACGGAAAGGCCCAAGCUUGCUUGGGUACUCGAGUGGCGAACGGGUGAGUAACACGUGGGUGAUCUGCCCUGCACUUCGGGAUAAGCCUGGGAAACUGGGUCUAAUACCGGAUAGGACGAUGGUUUGGAUGCCAUUGUGGAAAGUUUUUUCGGUGUGGGAUGAGCUCGCGGCCUAUCAGCUUGUUGGUGGGGUAAUGGCCUACCAAGGCGUCGACGGGUAGCCGGCCUGAGAGGGUGUACGGCCACAUUGGGACUGAGAUACCGACCAGACUCCCUCGGGAGGCAGGAGUGGGGAAUAUUGGACAAUGGGCGCAAGCCUGAUGGAGCGACGCCGCGGGGGGGGUGAAGGCCUUCGGGUUGUUAACCCCUUUCGCUAGGGACGAAGCGUUUUUGUGACGGUACCUGGAGAAGAAGCACCGGCUAACUACGUG
RNAcentral lists this ribosomal RNA (468 nucleotides) under uncultured bacterium. RNAcentral's name for it is "partial 16S ribosomal RNA". It matches the Rfam family "Bacterial small subunit ribosomal RNA", at positions 28 to 507 of the family's 1533-position model. The record is from RNAcentral.